This 254-nucleotide ribosomal RNA is filed under the name uncultured bacterium. RNAcentral's name for it is "partial 16S ribosomal RNA". It matches the Rfam family "Bacterial small subunit ribosomal RNA", at positions 524 to 776 of the family's 1533-position model. The record is from RNAcentral.
UACGGGGGGAGCAAGCGUUGUUCGGAUUUACUGGGCGUAAAGGGCGCGUAGGCGGCCACCGCAAGUCGGUUGUGAAAUCUCUGGGCUUAACCCAGAAAGGUCAACCGAUACUGCGGGGCUAGAGUGCAGAAGGGGCAACUGGAAUUCUCGGUGUAGCGGUGAAAUGCGUAGAUAUCGAGAGGAACACCUGCGGCGAAGGCGGUUCUCUGGGCAUUACCUGACGCUGAGGAGCGAAAGUGUGGGGAGCGAACAGG